RNAcentral lists this ribosomal RNA (288 nucleotides) under Triticum aestivum (bread wheat). RNAcentral describes it as "partial small subunit ribosomal RNA". The record is from RNAcentral. Lineage: Eukaryota; Viridiplantae; Streptophyta; Magnoliopsida; Poales; Poaceae.
AUGGCCAAAUUCCAGAUUACACCGUUCCCUGGACUCGUGGAAAACACCGACUUUAACUUCGGUAGUUUUUACUUGUACAACAUUUUUAAUCCCCCGAGCUAUGCCAGCAUAAAAGAGAACAAUGCUACCUCUGGAUGGGGAGGGGCAGGCCUUGUCAACUGGCAAAUAUAUGAUGGCGAUGGCUCGGGCGCGAAGCUAGUCGGUCAUGCCCAAGGGAUGCAAAUCCAUGCUGGUGUAAAGCACCAAUCAUUCACCCUUGUGUUCGAGAAUGGAAGUUCUACAACUUAG